CCUUUUACACGUAACGUCGUAUGACAAAUACGGCGAGAUAUGCCUCGCCUCCUAGGGCGCGAGUUGUGCGCCCUCACUCACUUCUGCAUAGUCUCUAUUCUGCACCUGGUAUAUCGGCCUGUAUCGGUUUACAUAUACGUAAGGGGUUAAUCAACUGGGAAAAAAAUCAUGGACAUAGUUAAACGUCCACAGUCGUUUAGCCUAUCACACGACAAACACUCUUCACGAUGGUCCGCGGUAUUCGCACACCAAAAAUCAAAA
Molecule: long non-coding RNA, 261 nt
Organism: Bombus pascuorum
Lineage: Eukaryota; Metazoa; Arthropoda; Insecta; Hymenoptera; Apidae
Exons: 2
Source: RefSeq, a predicted model, not a curated record